RNAcentral lists this ribosomal RNA (424 nucleotides) under uncultured prokaryote. Its description in RNAcentral is "bacterial SSU rRNA". It matches the Rfam family "Bacterial small subunit ribosomal RNA", at positions 355 to 796 of the family's 1533-position model. The record is from RNAcentral.
UGGGGAAUCUUAGACAAUGGGGGAAACGCUGAUCUAGCCAUGCCGCGUGAGUGACGAAGGCCCUAGGGUCGUAAAGCUCUUUCGCCAGGGAAGAUAAUGACGGUACCUGGUAAAGAAACCCCGGCUAACUCCGUGCCAGCAGCCGCGGUAAUACGGAGGGGGUUAGCGUUGUUCGGAAUUACUGGGCGUAAAGCGCGCGUAGGCGGACUAUUAAGUUAGGGGUGAAAUCCCAGGGCUCAACCCUGGAACUGCCUCUAAUACUGGUAGUCUUGAGUUCGAGAGAGGUGAGUGGAAUUCCGAGUGUAGAGGUGAAAUUCGUAGAUAUUCGGAGGAACACCAGUGGCGAAGGCGGCUCACUGGCUCGAUACUGACGCUGAGGUGCGAAAGUGUGGGGAGCAAACAGGAUUAGAUACCCGCGUAGUCC